GUUUUGUUGUAGGUUCUGUGCGGAUGCCUGCAUCUCUUUGCGGCGUUGUAGGGCUCAAACCGACUUUUGGACGCAUACCUCAUUCAGGUGUUCUUCCUUUGAACUGGACAGUGGGGAUGGUUGGAAUACUAGCAGGCACCUUAGAGGAUGCAUUAGUUGUCUAUGCUGCUAUUAGUGGCCAACUUCAAUCAUGUGAGCACACAACUUUACC
Long non-coding RNA from Hibiscus syriacus, 211 nucleotides. RefSeq lists it as uncharacterized. Lineage: Eukaryota; Viridiplantae; Streptophyta; Magnoliopsida; Malvales; Malvaceae. The transcript is spliced from 3 exons. The record is from RefSeq and is a predicted model, not a curated record.